RNAcentral lists this ribosomal RNA (383 nucleotides) under uncultured bacterium. RNAcentral describes it as "bacterial SSU rRNA". It matches the Rfam family "Bacterial small subunit ribosomal RNA", at positions 30 to 416 of the family's 1533-position model. The record is from RNAcentral.
AUUGAACGCUGGCGGAAUGCUUUACACAUGCAAGUCGAACGGCAGCACGGGGCAACCUGGUGGCGAGUGGCGAACGGGUGAGUAAUACAUCGGAACGUGCCCAAUCGUGGGGAUAACGUAGCGAAAGUUACGCUAAUACCGCAUACGAUCUACGGAUGAAAGCGGGGGAUCGCAAGACCUCGCGCGAAUGGAGCGGCCGAUGUCAGAUUAGGUAGUUGGUGGGGUAAAGGCUCACCAAGCCGACGAUCUGUAGCUGGUCUGAGAGGACGACCAGCCACACUGGGACUGAGACACGGCCCAGACUCCUACGGGAGGCAGCAGUGGGGAAUUUUGGACAAUGGGCGCAAGCCUGAUCCAGCCAUUCCGCGUGCAGGAUGAAGGCC